UGGGGAAUAUUGGGCAAUGGGGGAAACCCUGACCCAGCAACGCCGCGUGAAGGAAGAAGGCCUUCGGGUUGUAAACUUCUUUUACCAGGGACGAAGGACGUGACGGUACCUGGAGAAUAAGCAACGGCUAAUUACGUGCCAGCAGCCGCGGUAACACGUAAGUUGCGAGCGUUGUUCGGAAUUAUUGGGCGUAAAGGGUAUGUAGGCGGUUCUGCAAGUCUGGUGUGAAAUGCCGGGGCUCAACCCCGGAACUGCGUUGGAAACUGCAGGACUUGAAUCGCUGAGGGGCAGCCAGAAUUCCAGGUGUAGGGGUGAAAUCUGUAGAUAUCUGGAAGAAUACCAAUGGCGAAGGCAGGCUGCCAGCAGAUGAUUGACGCUGAGGUACGAAGGUGCGGGGAGCAAACAGGAUUAGAUACCCUGGUAGU
Molecule: ribosomal RNA, 425 nt
Filed under: uncultured Treponema sp.
Lineage: Bacteria; Pseudomonadati; Spirochaetota; Spirochaetia; Treponematales; Treponemataceae
Description: bacterial SSU rRNA
Rfam family: Bacterial small subunit ribosomal RNA
Source: RNAcentral